CAGCCGCCGCGGUAAUACGGAGGGUGCAAGCGUUAAUCGGAAUUACUGGGCGUAAAGCGUGCGUAGGCGGUUCGUUAAGUCUGUUGUGAAAGCCCCGGGCUCAACCUGGGAAUGGCAAUGGAUACUGGCGAGCUAGAGUGUGUCAGAGGAUGGUGGAAUUCCCGGUGUAGCGGUGAAAUGCGUAGAGAUCGGGAGGAACAUCAGUGGCGAAGGCGGCCAUCUGGGACAACACUGACGCUGAGGCACGAAAGCGUGGGGAGCAAACAGGAUUAGAUACCCGGGUAGUCCCUGUCUCUUAUAC
RNAcentral lists this ribosomal RNA (301 nucleotides) under uncultured bacterium. Its description in RNAcentral is "partial 16S ribosomal RNA". It matches the Rfam family "Bacterial small subunit ribosomal RNA", at positions 509 to 807 of the family's 1533-position model. The record is from RNAcentral.